AUGCUACAGGAAGGAAUUUGGAAUAGUUUUCUUUUAACUUGUCUCCCAUAUUGGUGGGGAAUAUACCCAACGGCUGACCUGGGACAGGUUGUACCUGGAGGAGCCCUGCUCUAUUCUCACUGCUUGGGGAUGACAGAGAAGACUGUGGUGAGCGCAGAAGAUGGAGAUUUAGAGAAGCCAGGUUUCCUGCUCAAGGUCAGCAGGUUUGCAGCCCAUGUAUACACGUCAGAGCCAUGUGCUGACCCACCUGUCCUGUUACAAAGGUGCUCCCAAAACAUCAAAGAAAACUAAAAAGAUCUACCAGAUCCAGCGAGGAAAAACUAAAAAGAGGAGAACUAAAACGAUCUACCAUUUCCAGCGAGGAAAUGCUGAUGAGUAAAAAAGCCAGAAAACAAAACUGAUGAUUUCUUAUGUUGAUCCAGUCCCCCCACAAAACCCAGGCAUCUUGGACAAAAAGGGUAAAACAAAUAUUGCUAAGAGGAAGUGUAAGUAAGCCAAAGGCGAUCAUAAGAAAGUUCAGCUCGAUUAGAGUUUAAACCUCUUGGCCAAAAUGCAUCAUGGACCCGAGUGGAUAAAACUUCCACGUGUUUGUUGAAUGAAUGAGUGGUCAGUAUCACUCAACCACUGUGGGUAAUGGUUAAGACCUGUAGAAAAUUUCUGCAAGAACAGGAAUGUGAGAAGUAAAGUUCCAGUGUCCUUGCUGGGCAAGAAUUCUACCAAUUAUAGACUUGAAAGCCUGCUGUAGACUUAAACAAGAGUUGAGAAAUAAUUUCUAAAUGUUUAGAAAGGAAACACGAUCAUCAAAGCUACCAUGGAUUUACUCAGAACAAGUUGUUAUGUGAACUAGCCCGAUUUCCUUUUUCGUCAGUGUUGCCAGCUGGUAAACAGAUCUGGAUUUCAACAAGGCAUCUGGCAGGGGUCUCCUGUUAUCCUUUUGGAAAGGUGGUGAGAUGUGAGAGCCACAGAGUGAUGAGUGAGGUGGAGGUCACCUCGGAGGGCAGCCUCUGUGUGAGCUCAGGCCCGCUCUCAGCUUGGUCCUGACCCUUCAUCCUCGAGGACUUGGAGGAAGCAAUGGGAGGAAAAUGUACCCAAUUACUAGAUGACGGGGAAGCCGGAUGGGUGAUGAACAUGAAGGAGAGCUGGACAAGGAUACUGAAACAUCUCAAGUACCUGGAAAUAUUGAAUAACUAAAGCUUAAUAGAGAUUGAUAUAAUUCUUUACAUUUGGUUCAAAGGACGAGACAGAACAGAAAAAAAUUUUGCAAAUAUAAUGACACAAAGCUCAGCUUCAG
Molecule: long non-coding RNA, 1291 nt
Filed under: Felis catus (domestic cat)
Lineage: Eukaryota; Metazoa; Chordata; Mammalia; Carnivora; Felidae
Description: lncRNA (ENSFCAG00000050689.1)
Source: RNAcentral